UACGUAGGGUGCGAGCGUUGUCCGGAAUUACUGGGCGUAAAGAGCUCGUAGGUGGUUUGUCGCGUUGUUCGUGAAAUCUCACGGCUUAACUGUGAGCGUGCGGGCGAUACGGGCAGACUGGAGUACUGCAGGGGAGACUGGAAUUCCUGGUGUAGCGGUGGAAUGCGCAGAUAUCAGGAGGAACACCAGUGGCGAAGGCGGCUCACUGGCCCGGUACUGACGCUGAGGUGCGAAAGCGUGGGGAGCAAACAGG
This 253-nucleotide ribosomal RNA is filed under the name uncultured bacterium. RNAcentral describes it as "partial 16S ribosomal RNA". It matches the Rfam family "Bacterial small subunit ribosomal RNA", at positions 524 to 776 of the family's 1533-position model. The record is from RNAcentral.